GGUUGUGAUAAAUCGGUUCCGUGUCGUCAUAAUCGCAAGUGUUGCAGGCAGUUAUGAGGAGAUGGAGAGCGUGCAGACUUGUUUCCUUCCUCUAGCCUAUGAUGCAGAUUCUUCAUCUGUUUGUUAUCGUUCUCAUGGUGUACAUAACAGACGAAGGUCUGCAUCAUAGCCAAGAGGAAGCAAAUCUUAAUACCUGGCUCGAAUUUGGCCUGCACGCAAUUUU
RNAcentral lists this microRNA precursor (223 nucleotides) under Physcomitrium patens. RNAcentral's name for it is "Physcomitrella patens miR902b stem-loop (ppt-MIR902b)". Its record names the gene ppt-MIR902b. Lineage: Eukaryota; Viridiplantae; Streptophyta; Bryopsida; Funariales; Funariaceae. The record is from miRBase by way of RNAcentral.